GCGGGCGUAGUUCAGUGGUAGAACACAAGCCUUCCAAGCUUGAUACGUGAGUUCGAUUCUCAUCGCCCGCU
This 71-nucleotide transfer RNA is filed under the name Zetaproteobacteria bacterium. RNAcentral's name for it is "tRNA-Gly". It matches the Rfam family "tRNA". Rfam says of the family: Transfer RNA (tRNA) molecules are approximately 80 nucleotides in length. Their secondary structure includes four short double-helical elements and three loops (D, anti-codon, and T loops). The record is from RNAcentral. Lineage: Bacteria; Pseudomonadati; Pseudomonadota; Candidatius Mariprofundia. RNAcentral also lists the same sequence under 1 other name.